UAAGUCGUGCCACCUGAUCCGUCUUUCCUUCGCUUUAGCCAGUUUUAACGAGCCAGUCAUAUCGAAAUCAAACUUAACUCUUGAUACAAACUAACCGACCGUCCCUAGAGCAAGUGGCAAAGGACUUGGUGGUUGGUACCCAAGACCUAAAUUCGAAUCCUAGUUGAUUCACAUUUCCAGCAAAGUUUAUUUCUAAAUGAAAUAAAUGAAGUGGGUAGUAUGCUAUCUUUCUCUCAAAAAAACUCUUGAUACAAAUCAUAAGCAUAUGAAC
This 271-nucleotide long non-coding RNA is filed under the name Ananas comosus (pineapple). RNAcentral's name for it is "long non-coding RNA (ACOM_LNC011538)". The record is from RNAcentral. Lineage: Eukaryota; Viridiplantae; Streptophyta; Magnoliopsida; Poales; Bromeliaceae.